Molecule: ribosomal RNA, 465 nt
Filed under: Vreelandella stevensii
Lineage: Bacteria; Pseudomonadati; Pseudomonadota; Gammaproteobacteria; Oceanospirillales; Halomonadaceae
Description: partial 16S ribosomal RNA
Rfam family: Bacterial small subunit ribosomal RNA
Source: RNAcentral
CCUACGGGAGGCAGCAGUGGGGAAUAUUGGACAAUGGGGGGAACCCUGAUCCAGCCAUGCCGCGUGUGUGAAGAAGGCCCUCGGGUUGUAAAGCACUUUCAGUGAGGAAGAACGCCUGGUGGUUAAUACCCAUCAGGAAAGACAUCACUCACAGAAGAAGCACCGGCUAACUCCGUGCCAGCAGCCGCGGUAAUACGGAGGGUGCGAGCGUUAAUCGGAAUUACUGGGCGUAAAGCGCGCGUAGGUGGCUUGAUAAGCCGGUUGUGAAAGCCCCGGGCUCAACCUGGGAACGGCAUCCGGAACUGGCAGGCUAGAGUGCAGGAGAGGAAGGUAGAAUUCCCGGUGUAGCGGUGAAAUGCGUAGAGAUCGGGAGGAAUACCAGUGGCGAAGGCGGCCUUCUGGACUGACACUGACACUGAGGUGCGAAAGCGUGGGUAGCAAACAGGAUUAGAUACCCUUGUAGUC